Small nuclear RNA from Symphalangus syndactylus (siamang), 104 nucleotides. Lineage: Eukaryota; Metazoa; Chordata; Mammalia; Primates; Hylobatidae. The record is from RefSeq and is a predicted model, not a curated record.
GUGCUUACUUUGACAACACAUAUACUAAAAUUGGGAUGAUACGGAGAUUAGCAUAGCCCCUGCACAAGGAUGAAAUGCACAUUCAUGAAAGGUUCCAAUAUAAA